AUGCAUGGCUUAAUCUUUGAGACAAGCAUAUGACUACUGGCAGGAUCAACCAGGUAGCAUUCCUCAUCGACGUCGGGACCGUAUGACCAAAAUCCGAAAGGACCUAGUCAAAACAGCCACAACCGUCGUUCGCACAUAGCGUUGGACGCUCAAUUAGGGGCAAUAAGAGAACAAUGCCUCGUGCCCACCGAGUAUUCCACAACCGAGAGAACGAGCAACGAUCGUGGUCCAACACACCAAGCACUUGCAUGCAAGGAGAGUGGAACACAAUCGACACUUUCACGUUCACUCCAUGCCACGAUCCGAGGGGACGCAACACAAAGCGAAACUGAAAUUGAACCGAUCGAAUGCCAUCAUAAAUGGAACACAGAACAGGAAACCCACAUCACGCAAAGGCACACCGCGCCAACGCCAACAAUUGAAGAGACGCGCAAGGUACAUUGUCGCUGCCCGAGCAGGGAUCCAACAUAUCAAAACGCAUCAAUCACCACUCACGCGGCUCUAUA
This 506-nucleotide unclassified non-coding RNA is filed under the name Achimenes aff. woodii ERA-2021. RNAcentral's name for it is "partial external transcribed spacer". Lineage: Eukaryota; Viridiplantae; Streptophyta; Magnoliopsida; Lamiales; Gesneriaceae. The record is from RNAcentral.